UUUUUUCUUAAACUCUCUUUGCCGACAUCCUCCACCUCUCUAUUUUUUUUUUUUUUCCUUCUUUUCUCAUUUUACUCGUCUUUUUCUUUUUCAACACAAUCUUCUUUCAUUCAAUAGUCCAUCGAAUGUAAUUUUCUCAUCUUUUGACAUCAUGGGUCGGGUUGAACAUUGAUUGUAGGCGGAUUUACAAUUUGGAAGGAGAAGAAGGUUGGGUCAGCUUGUUGGAACGGCGGUGCUGCUGGUGGCUGGAAGUGUAGGAGAUAAAGAUAGAGAGUAGGAGAUGCUGUGACGAGAUGAAAUCGUGGCCAGAGCUUCAAGAGUGCCACCAAAGACAACUUUCUCAGAACUUGAAGCAGUAGGGAGUACUUUGAAAGGAAGAGAUCUUAGGCAGGUUUGAAAUGCAAUUUGACGUAAAAUUAGGUGUAUCAUAACGUUUAGAUCUGAAAAUUUAUCACUAGACAUUAACUUGAAGGAGUUGUCAUCAAUCUUUUUUAUUUAGGUGUGAUUGACCACUUAAGAAAUUUAUCAUUUUAGGGAACGUCUAAGUUUAAGGGUUUCUACAAGAAUAGGUUCGGAUUCACUAAUCAGAACAGGGUUUCGAAAUUUAGUUAUGUAUGAAGAAGGUUAUAGCACCCUCACAACGUCCAUCAAAAGAUGGUACCAGCUUAAUUUUAUGUAAUUUAAUAAGCUUUAAAAUUUUAUCAAGUAAUUAGUUGUUGAAAAUUAUUCUCAAUUGACUCUAAUACUUUUACCAGAAAAUUGAGAAAAUCUCCUCACCUCAAGAGUAUGCAAGAAAACUAUUGUUUUACUUAUAGAGGUUUCAUCGUCGGAUUAUUUAACAAAAAAAAUUCAAAGAAAUAAAAAAAAUGAUCGCUUUUGUACAAGAAAAAAUUGAUACUUUUAACUUUUUUUCAAAAUAUUUAUUUUUGAAAUUUUAAUUUCGAGAAAAAUUAAUACUUUCAACUUUUCUUCAAAAAAUUUUUUCUUGAGAAUUUAUUUUUAAGAAAAAUUGAUACUUUCAAUUUUUUUAAAAAAAUAUUUUUUUGGAAAACUUUAAUUUUGAGAAAAAUUGAUGCUUUCAAUUUUUACUAAAAAAAAAAAUUUUUUUGAAAAUUUAUUUCUAAGGAAAAUUGAUACUUUUAACUUUUUCUCAAAAAAAUUUCUCUUGAAAAUUUAUUUUUAAGAAAAAUUGAUAAUUUCAAUUUUUUCUCAAAAUUUUUUUUUAAAAUUUACCUUUAAGAAAAAUUGAUACUUUCAACUUUUCUUCAAAAAUAUUUUUUUUGAAUUAUUUUAAAAACGUAAUAAAAUAAAAUAAACAAAGUAAAAAUGAAAAUAAAUAAAAAUAAAAAUAUUAAACAAUUUUAAUAUAAUAAUAAUAACAAUAAAUAAAUAAAUAAAAUGAAAAAAAACCUGAGAACGGUUCGGCUUGAGAAAGAAAAAAUGGCUUGGAGACGCGGCUUAGAGGUGUCGGCUCGGCUCGACUAACGGCUUGAGACGCGGGUCGCACGUGGAUCGAAAGCAGGUUGGCGUUCGGGUCGGGUCGGAUCUUGAUAAAACGUGCGGAUCCUUUGGGUUACUUAACGCAAAAACGACGUCGUUUUAGGAGGGUAUAUAAGGUUGAUUCUUUCAUUUUUUCAGCAGAACCCUUCUUCUCUUCUCUCUUUUCCCUUCUUUUUUCUCUCUUUUCUCUUUAGAAUCCGAAGAACUCCGAUUGAAUAUUCACUGGAUUCUAAAAAUUUUCGUCGAAAUCUGAGUUUUUCGUCGAAAAUUGGGCAGCUGGCUAAAAAAUUCAAACUUGACCAGAAAAGUCACCAGAAAAUUCAACUUUCGUCAAAAAAUUCAAUCGAAAUCUGAAAACUUUCUAAAAAUUUUCAGAAAAAAAAUCUCAAAAAAUCUUCCAAAAAUUUCCCACCAAUCCCUAGAGCUAUUCUAACACCUCUAAACCUUUUUUCAGCUUUCAAACCUUCUUUGUGUGUUUUUUUUUUCAAUCAGUAACUCUUUUUUAUAUUUUUUUUCUUUUGAUCCGAGGGUCCUUUUAUAAGGAUUGAUCAAAAGAGUUUCUGAUCAAUCUCAACUCCUCUUCGGAUUGGGAUUCAAUCAUUGAAUCCAAUAAGGACUCUAAUUGAAUCCCAAUUCACAGUGAGAUUCCUCUAAAACUAACCCAAUCUUCAAUCGAAAAAAAAUCAAAAAAAUAAAAAAUUAAAUAAAAAAUAUUAAUAUAUAAUUAAAUGAAGAUAAUCAGAUAAACCAAAAAAUUAACAGAUAAAUUAACAAUAAUAAUAGAUAAAUAUAUAACUAGAUAAAUAAAAAUAUAUAUAUGAAUAUUAACAGAAAAGAAAGAAAAAAAAUAACAAAUAAAAAAAUAAAAAUAAAGAUAUAUAUAUUAAUAAAUAGUAAUAAUAAAUAAAUAAAUAACAAAUACAUAAGAUACAAAAGGAAAAUAUAUAUAAAAUAUAAAAUAAUAAUAAUAAAAUAUAAAAUACAACAUAAAAGCCAAAAUUGGGCCUACACAUUUGGACCAGGCCCAAUUGAUCCGGGCCUGGAUUAAAUUGGGUGUCUACAGCUGUUCCUCUUUGCACAUUUUCUGUGAAACAUAAAUUGCGUAAAGACGUAGACACCCAUUUAAAACUCAACUCGACCUUUUUUUUUUAUUUUUUGUGUUUAAGAUUUGAUCAAGGCUCCUCUAAGCAGAGGCUCAACAACUUUGAAAAACAUAAACAAUGCUCCUCUAAUCAGAUGCUCAACGACUUUAAAAACGAAUAAAGCUCCUCUAAUCAGAGGUUCAAUGACUUUGAAAAAUAAAUAAGGCUCUUCUAAUCAGAGGCUCAACGACUUUUAAAAAAUAAAUGGCUCCUCUAAUCAGAGGCUCAACGACUUUGAAAAGUAAAUGGCUCAUUGACAAUCAUGUCCAAAGGAGUGAAAAAUCGUAUUUGAAAGAAUUUCAGGGGAUUAUGCCCAAAGGUCUUAUAAAUCAACUCUAAUACCAAAAGACAUCCUAUUUCAAGGAUUAGGAACUUACCUGACAAGCUUUUUCUCAAAUUUGAAAAUAUCUUCACAUCUAUCUUCUCUCUGUGAGAUUUUGGAAUACCCCUUGCUUUUUGAAUUUAUGUAGUAUGUGCUAUGCAAUGUAUAUGAAGUUCAAUGCAUGUUAUGCAAAUGUUGGCUAAUUAAUUCCUAUUCAAUUGUGGUACUCAAGUUUCUCAAGCUCUUUUCUUGGGCAUCAAACCCUUUGAUUCUUCAAAAAUCAGAUUACAUUGCUCUUCUAAGAUCGAGCUAGUGUAGCUCUUAAUUAUCUCUUUCACUCACAUUCUUCCUAUAAGAAAUCUCUUUUCAAAUUCAAUGUCCUUAUCAGGAAUUGAACAUCUUGAUUUUGCCUUUAUCACUCUUGACUUAUUUAAUGUAAUGUAAAAAUCUUUCAUACCAUUAUUCAUUCAUCAAUCAUUAUUUCAAACUCAAAAAGUAAGAAUGCAUUUACACAUUUCUUCCAUUGUAGGGUAUUAAGAGGAAAAGAAUAAGAAUGGUUGAAAAACAGUAAAAAAAAAGACACAAAAAGUGAAAUAGAAUGUCUUUUAUUAGUAAAAUAUUGGCAAACUUUGGCCAGGAAAGAAUUACAAGGAUAAGUGAGGGGACAAAGCCCAAAAAUGAAUAAUCGGAUAAUCAUGAUAACAUAUCUCAAAGUUUUUCUGAAAACCCAACCUUCUGAUGUAUUUAACAACUUGGAGCUGCUCCGAAUUUGCUAGCCUCCAUGCCAACGGAUUUGCUGUAUUCUUCUUAUCUAAGCUACCUUUUUAGGUUUUCAACUUAGACAAACUCCUUAUGACUCAAACUACCAUUUUAGGGUUUUAGCCUUGAGUCCUCCUUUUUCAUUCAUUUUUUUUCUUUUUUUUUUCAUUUUCAUUUCUUUUUUCUUUUUUUUCUUUUAUUUUAAGCAUAGUAUUUCUUCACAGCAUCAAAAUUUAUAGGAUGAGGUAAAUCAUUUUCAUCCAUCUCAGUCAGUAUCAGCAUUCACCCGAAAAAGCUCGUUUCACCACAUACGGCCCUUCCUUAUUCGGGGUCCAUUUUUUUUACUAUUGUGCUGGAUCGAAAGGAUUCUCUUCAAGACCAACUCUCCUUCUCGAAAGUAAUGGGGUUGAAUUUUCUUAUCAUGAGCCCUCAUCAUUCUUCUUUGAUAUAGCUGACCAUGGCACAGUGUAGUGAAUCUCUUUUCUUCUAUGAAAUUUAACUGUUCAUAGCAUUUUUGAAUCCAUUUGACUUCUUCCAACUCAACUUCCUUUAGAAUCCUCAAAGAGGGGAUCUCUACUUUUACUGGUAGUACGACUUCCAUCCCAUAAACCAAAAAAAAUGGAGUUACCCCAGCAGAGGUACGAACUGAUGUUCGAUAUGCAUGUAGUGCAAAUAGUAACUUCUCAUGCCAAUCUUUAUAAGUCUUGAUCAUCUUUUCCAGAAUCUUUUUUAUGUUCUUAUUAGCUGCCUCAACUACCCCAUUCAUCUUCGAACGGUAUGGUGUCGAGUUAUGAUGCUUGAUCUUGUAUUGAGCACAUAUUUCUUGUAUCAUCUUACUAUUUAGAUUCUUGGCAUUGUCUGAAAUAAUUCUCUUUAGAAGUUCAUAUCUACAGAUGAUCUUUCUCUUUAUAAACUUGUAAACCACGGAUCGUGUUACACUUGCAUAUGAUGCUGCCUCUACCUAUUUUGUGAAGUAAUCCAUCAUCACAACAAUGAAUCUAUACCCGUUAUAAGCCUUUGGGGUGAUAGGACCAAUGAUAUCCAUGCCCCACAUUGAGAAUGGUCAAGAUGGCACCAUAAAAUGUAAAGCAGAUGGCGGAGCAUGGAUCUUAUUAGCAUAUAUCUGGCAUUUAUGAUAUUUACGAGCAUAGUCAAUGCAAUCAUUCUCUAUCAUCAACCAGUAAUAUUCUGCUCUCAUGAUCUGUCUCACCAUCAUAUGUCCACUGGUAUGUGCCCCACAUAUUCCAUCAUGCACCUCUUCAAUGAUUUUCCUCGCUUCCGCUUUGUUUAUGUACCUCAAUAAUACUUGAUCUCGACUUUUUUUGUACAGAACAUCCUCAUUCAGAAAGAAGCUCAUAACCAAUCUUCAGAUAACCCUUUUAUCAUUUUUUGUUGCUUAAAUUGGGUAUUGUUGAUCCCUAAUAUACUGUAAGAUAUCAUAAUACCAGGGCUUCCCAUCUUCUUCUUCUUUUACAUUAGAGCAAUAAGUUGGUAUAUCUUUAACAUCUAACCUGAUGGGCUGAAUGUCAGUAUUAACAUUGAUUCGAAUCAUUACAGCCAGAGUAGCCAAUGCAUCAGCAAUUAGAUUCUCUUCUCGAGGUAAGUGGUCAAACUGGAUAUCUUCAAAUUGUUUCAUCAACUCUAGAAUAUACUUAUGAUAUGGAACGAGUUUUGAAUCUCUCGUCUCCCAUUCCCUUUUCAAUUGAUAUAUAACUAGAGUUGAGUCCCCGAACACUUUUAAUGCUCUCACUCUUCUAUCUAUAGUAGCUUGUAAGCCCAUGACACAUUAAUCAUAUUCAGUAAUAUUAUUUGUACAGUUGAAAUUUAACCUUGCUGUUACAGGAUAGUAUUGUUCUUCUAGAGAGAUCAAAAUUACCCCAAUUCCAUGUCCCAAGGCAUUGACAGCUCCAUCAAAAUACAUUCUCCAGCAUUUUUCUCCAUGCUCUCUUUUCUCCAGUUGGAAAAUAAUCAUUAGGUUUUCAUCAGAGAAUUUUAACUUCAUUGGCUCAUACUCUUCCGUAGCACGAUCUGUAAGAAACUUCGCUAUAUCACCUUUUUUUAUUACCUUUUGGCUCACAUAUAUAAUAUCAUACUCUGAGAGCAUUACUUACCAUCUAGCAAUUCUUUAAGAUAAAGAAGAUUUCUCGAAGAUAUAUUUAAUUAGAUCCAAUUUUGCUAUGAGCCAUGCGGUAUGAUAGAGCAUAUACUGUCUGAGUCUUUUGAUAAUCCAUGCUAAUGAACAACACAUUUUCUCCAAUGAGGAAUACUUGGAUUCAACUCUGUGAACUUCUUACUCAUAUAGUAAAUAGCUCUCACCUUUCAGCUAUACUCAUCUUGUUGUCUCAACACACAUCCCAUUAAAUUUUCACAUAUUAUCAAGUACAUAAUUAAAGGUUUUUCUGGAACAGGUGGCACCAACACUAGAGGGUUUGACAAGUAUUGCUUAAUUUUAUCAAAUGCCUCUUGACAUUUCUCAUUCCAUUUUCUAGGAUUAUUCUUACGGAGAAGCUUAAAUAUAGGAUCACAUUUGUAAGUAAGCUGAGAGAUAAAUCGAAAAAUGUAGUUCAAUCUCCCUAGAAAACUUCAAACUUUUUUUGGUGUGCUGAGAGGUGACAAAUUUUGAAUGACCCGUAUCUUAUCUGGAUCAUCUUCAAUUCUUUUUUCACUGACUACAAAGCCCAAGCAACUUUCCUGACUUUACCUCAAAUGUGCACUUGGCUGGGUUUAAUUUGAGUUGAAAUCUUCUCAACCUCUCAAAUAACUUUCUGAGGCUGGUGACAUGAUCUUUAUCCUCACAAGACUUUGCAAUCAUAUUGUCUACAUACACCUUGAUCUCUUUGUGCAUCAUAUCAUAGAAGAGUGUUACCAUAGCCCUUUGAUAUAUUGCCCCAGCAUUUUUUAACCUAAAAAGCAUGACCUUGUAGCAAAAGGUUCCCCACAUAGUCACGAAAGUAGUCUUUUCCAUAUCAUUUGCAACCAUUUUUAUCUGAUUAUACCUUGAGAAACUAUCCAUAAAGGAGAAAAUUGAAUACCUAGUCGUAUUAUCUACCAAUGUGUCGAUAUGAAGCAAAGAAAAGUUAUCCUUUGAACUAGCCUUAUUCAAGUCAUGAUAAUCUACACACAUUCGUACCUUUCUAUUUUUCUUAGGAACUGGUACUAUAUUGGCUACCCACUCUGGAUACUUAGCCACUUAUAGAAAACCUACGUCAAAUUGUUUCUUCACCUCUUCUUUGAUCUUUAGUAACAUUUCAAGCUUCAUCCGUCUCAGUUUCUAUUGAACUGACUUACAUUCUGACUUUAAGGGUAAUCUGUGCUCCACUAUCUCUGUGCUUAGCCCUGACAUAUCUUGAUAAGACCAAGCGAACACAUCUACUAAUUUUCGAAGUAAGUUUGCCAAUCGUUGUCUGUCUCUUGAUGAAAGUGAAGUGCCAAUCCUGACAUCUUUCUUAUUCUUUUUAUCUCCUAAAUUCACUAAGUCAACUAUCUCCUGAUGAGGCUCAAUUAGUUUACUUUCUUGUUCAAUCAAUCUCAUUAGGUCCGGAGGUAUAACAUAUUCCUUAAAAUUCUCUUCAUUGUCAAGUUCAUCAGUGUUAAUUGAAUUCUCAAAGCUAACAUCUUGAUUAUUAUCAUGAUUAUCUUCAUGUUCAUUUAAAGACCUGAAAUUGAAUAAAAUGGGAUAUGUUGACAAUAUGUGCUUGAAAAGAUGAAAAUAAUGAAGACAUAAGAAAAAAUGAAUGAAAAUGCAUCCUUCCUAAUUUUUAUUAAAAAUAAUAAAAGAUAAAUGGACCAAACAAGAAAGAUUACCCCAAUGCCUUGAGCAAUAGCUAUUGGGAUAUUACAAUUACAUUGUAUUAGUCUCAAAAGUCAUAGGCAUCUCGAAGGCACUCCAAUUAUUCAACUCAUAAUCUGGCAAACAAAGGCGAACCCACUCUUCUUGAUUAAGCCCCAUUUUAUCUUCAACAGCAUUAAUGGUUAACUGGGUAAAAGUGUUUUUCACACUUUUUUUCAUAUCUGGGUACAUGAAUCUUUCAGGUCUAAAAGUCUCAUAUAGGUGUGGGAUAACCAUUAGUCUUGCUGUCUUUCCUACUGGCCUUCUUUUGACCUCCCAUUCUGUCAUCUCAUAGCCUAGGCCUAACUUGUCGUUAUUGUCUAUCACCGUUGGGGGUUCCUUUAUUCCCUGCAAGUUUUUACCCAGCCCUAGUCCUAGAUACCAGCCCUUGUUGAUGACUUGGCUCAUCAUUAUCCUUGAAAAAGAUUGAUUUUAAAAUCUUUCACCUAUAGAAUUAACCAAUUCAAAAUAUCGAUAGAAGCAUUCUAAUGCUUCUUCGAUAGCCUCUACAUAUGGAGUAUUCAAUGGUUGGGUCACUAGCAUAUUUUUUUCCCCAACUACCACUACUAGUUUACCUUCUACAUUAAACUUGAUCUUUUGGUGCAAGGUAGAGGGCACAGCUCCUGCCAUGUGAAUCCAUGGCCUUUCUAAUAGACAGUUGUAGGAUGAAGAGAUAUCCAUCACUUGAAACUUCACAUUAAAAGUGCAUGGCCCAAUUUGUAAGGGCCUCUUAAUAUCUCUCAAGACUUCUCUUCUGGUCUCAUCAAAAGCUCUCACAAUCAUCUAAUUGUCUUUCAUAUAAGAGUAAUCAAUGGGUAGCCUCGCCAAAGUGGACAUAGGCAUGACAUUGAUGGCAGAACCAUUAUCAAUAAGGACCUUGGCUAUGAUAUGGUUCUUGCACUUGAUUGUGAUAUGCAAAACCUUGGCAUUUCCCUUUUCCUCUAAGAGAAUCUCAUCAUCGCUGAAUGAAAUGUGAUUUGGCAUGACUAGAUUUCUAGUCAGGUGGUUCACAUAUUCAACAGAUACAUUAUGUGCCAUGUAUGCCUGAUUCAACACUUUCAGCAAAGUAUUUUGGUGUGGCUCUGAGUUUAGCAGUAGUGAUAGUAAUGAUAUUCGAGCUGGCAUUUUAUUCAACUGUUCAACAAUCGAAUACUCAUUAUGUUUUACCAGCUUCAAGAAUUCACAAACCUCUCUUUUUGAUAUCGACUUCAGACGAUCUUCUUCAGGUUCUACUUUAAGAUUAUUCCAUUCUUCUCCUUUUUUAGCCUUUUCUCUUUUAGCUUUCUCUAACAUUUCUGAAGUGUAGCACUUCUCGCUUCGGGUAAUGCCCCCUACACCAGCUAUAUUGGAAGCGUCAGCUUUGGAAACAUCAUUUUCUUGCCUCUGAACUACAAUAUCACAGCCAUAUUUUCAGGGUACAGCUUUGUCAUCCUUGUAUAAGAAAAGAGUCGAAACUUUAAAAGUUACCAACAUGGGAAUGAGUUUGUCUAUUAUAGACUUUGGCUUGUUCCCAUAAUGAAUUGUUACUGGCUUUAGAAAUAGCUUUGCAAGCUUAUUAGUCAUGGACACCUCAACACUUUUUGAGUCUUCUCUUCUUUUAUAGACCUCAAUUUGGUAUGAAUCCAAGAGUUUUUGCACCACUUAGUGAAACUGUUCACAAGUUUUAAUAAAAUGGCCUAUUACCCCACUAUGAUAUUUACAAAUAGUACCGACUACAUAUACUCCAUGAUAACUGUGUGGACUCACUAGUUGUAUCAUGUCAGUUUUCCAUAAAAUAUCAAACAGCUGACUAAAAGGUAUCUUAAUAUCUGCCAUUCUUUUCUUCACAUGGCACUCCUGUUCUUCACUUAUAGCAUUCACAUUAUGAUACGACAAGGGAUUGUCACUAACAUUUGGUGCAGUCACCCUUUCCAUAUCAAAGUAAAUAAUUUCAUCAUUGAUCAACCGUUGCACUUUGUGUUUUAGGGCAGUGUAAUUUUUGGUGGAGUGACCAGCGAUCCCAUAAUGGUAGUCACAAUGAGCUGUGAGAUCGUACCAUUUGGGAUAAGGUGGCUUAAGGGGUUUCAAUUUACUAGGAGCAAUCAAAUGACUGUUGUAAAGCUCCUUAUAUAAUUCUAUAUAAGUCAUUGGAAUUGGGUCAAACACAGUUUCUCACGGGUAGUUCGUUGCUCCCAUGAACCACCAAUAGGGUUAGUUGGGUGAUUUUGGGGUCUUGGGAUAGGUUGAGUGUUGGGACUAUAUAUGGUAUUUGAUAUGUUUGAGGCUUAUAAGAGGUUUGAUAUGUUUGAGGGUAAGGUGAAUGUACAAAUGGUUGGUAUGAGUAAGUGGAAGUGUUAUUUACAGUAGGGUAAUAUAACGGGUAUCCUGAUGAUGAGUAGGGUUGAUAGCCCUCAAAUUGUUAUUUAUCAAAGCUCACAGCCUGAGCUUCGAUCUCUUUCUUCUUCAGGACUCUCUUGCUAAAUGCUUCAUUUUCUUUCAACUUACUAUUCUUGAUGGCACUCUCGAAAUUUCUCCCGAAAUUACCAUAUCAGUAAAAUUUUUUGUUGUAUUUUCUAUCAUCUUUUCAUAAUAGGGAGGUUUUAAAGUGCUAACAAAAAGUACUGUGGUCUCUUUUUCAGUCAGAGAAGGUUGUACUUGAGAAGCGAUAUCCUUUCACUUUUGGGCAUACUCUUUAAAAGAUUUAUUUACCUUUUUCUUCAGAUUCUGUAAAGAUAAACAAUCAGGAGCCAAAUCGAUAAUAUGUCGAUAUUGAUUGAUAAAGUCAUGAGUCAUAUUGCUCCAAGAGCGAAUGCAAAUUCUAUCUAGCUGCACAUACCACCUGACAGUAGAGCCUGUAAGGCUAUCCUAAAAGACAUGCAUCAAGGGUUUUUCAUCAUGAGCAUGGGUUGCCAUCUUCCGACAAUACAUGGUGAUGUGGGUUUUGGGGCACUUCAUACCAUCAUAUUUUUCAAAUUUUGGUACUUUGAACUUAAGAGGAAUGAUCACAUCAGGGACUAAGCAAAGCCCAGCAGCAUCAAUUGAACCAUAGAAACCAAAUUCUUCCAUAACCUGUAGCCUUUGUUCUAACAUACUAAUCUUGGAGCUUUCCUGAGUUUCCACUCUUAUCUUUUUUUUUCCUUCUCUUUCAAAUCAUCUAGAUCAGGAAUUGGUUCUACUGCUUUUUCAAUAAAGACAAGAUUUACAUAGUUGUGAUAAUGCCCCAGGUUGGAAACUGAUGGCAUUUCAGGAUAUGUCGGAUAUGCGAAGUGUUGUGGUGGAACCUCUUGUGCAGACUGGGCUUGAGGUGGGCCAAAACUUGGAGGAUACAAAGGAUUAGCCACUUCUUGCAAUAGAGAAACUUGUUGGCUUGUAUUUUCUUCAACUCUUUUUCCCUUAUUCAUCUUAUUAAGAGCAUCCAAAAUCUUGUUCAAUUCAUUUUCAAUCUUCUCCUGUGCUUUUUCUAUCUUUUUAAAUCUGUAAGAAUUUUUUUACUCCAUUUGUCUGGCUCUGGCUCUUGUGUUAUAUCGAUGGGUAAAGUUGCUUGGUGGGGCUAUCCUUGAACCUUUAGCACCACAAUUAUGAUUAGAAAUGCUAUGCUAUACUUCAUGUAUGAUACAUUGAUGCACGAAUGAAAUGUACAUUUUCAUAGAUGAAAUCUAAUAUGAAAUGGAUGCAAAUGAUAAUGUUAAAACAUGAUCAUACGGAUGCACAAAAUCAGACAAACAACAUGGUUAGUUUCAUAGAUGAAAUGAAAGUGAUACCGAUGCAUAAUGUUACAUAUGAUAAUGAAAAUGAUGCAUAAAGUCAAACAAUCAAAAUGAUUAGAUAAACACCUUUUUUGUGUCCUAGUUUCAGUGUAUAUCUAUCAUUAGGUAAAAAAAGCUCUAUCCUAGGUUUAGGCACUUCUAAGGUUCACUAUAUGUGGUUCAAGGCUAAAGUCUAAAGGUUUCCAAAUUGCUCUUUACUUCAUUGUCCAUCACAAACUAGUAAGGCACCCUAAUUUUCACCCAUUACAGGCUAUAAGCGGAAAAGGUUCAAUUUGAAUGAGAGUAUUUUGCUAGCCACUGCAGAGGCAUUAAACCUCACAAAAGUAAUAGGUACUUUACUCCUUCCUAAAGGGACAGAGCUCGGGUAUAGAGCUCAUGUUAUGCAUAUGCAUAUGAAUGACAUAAUUAAUAAAGUAAAUAAACAUUAAUGAAUAAAUAAAACAUAUACAAAAAGGUUCAAUUUUAUUAGGCUUUUGGAUAACACAAAUUUUUUUACUGGCCUGACUCUCAGACGUCCCCAGUAGAGUCGUCAAGCUAUCAUAAAGUCUAAAUCCGAGGAUCUAUCACUAGACAUUGACUUGAAGGAGUUGCCACCAAUCUUUUUUAUCUAGGUGCGAUUAGUCACCUAAGGAAUCUAUCUUUUUAGGGAACACCUAAGUUUAAGGGUCCCUACAAGAAUAGGUUUGGGUCUACUAACCAGAACAAGAUUCGAGAGUUUGAUUAUGUAUGAGAAAGGUUAUAGAACCCUCACAACGCCCAUCAAAAGAUGGUACCAGCUUAAUUUUGUGUUAUCCAAUAAGCCUUAAAAUUUUACCAAGUAAUUAGUUGUUGAAAAUUAUUCUCAAUUGACUCUAAUACUUUUAACAAAAAAUUGAAAAAAUCCCCUCACCUCAAGAGUAUGUAAGAAAACUACUGUUUCACUUGCAGGGGCUCUAUCGUCGGAUUAUUUAACAAAAAAAAUCCAAAGAAAUAAAAAAAGAAAAGAAAAAUGAUCGCUUUUGUACAAGGGAAAAUUGAUACUUUCAACUUUUCUUAAAAAAAAAACUUUUUUUGAAAAUUUAUUUCUAAGAAAAAUUGAUACUUUCAACUUUUCCUCAAAAUUUUUUUUUUUUGAAAAUUUACCUUUAAGAAAAAUUGAUACUUUCAACUUUUCCCAAAAAAUAUUUUUUUUUUGAAUUUUUUUAAAAAAAUAAUAAAAUAAAAUAAACAAAGUAAAAAUGAAAAUAAAUAAAAAGAUAAAUAAAAAUAAAAAUAUUAAACAAUUCUAAUAUAAUAAUAAUAACAAUAAAUAAAUAAAUAACGAAAAAAAAAACCUAAGAACGGCUCGACUUGCGGCUCGGCUCGAAUGACUGAAGGAAGAAAAAAUGGCUUGGAGACGCAGCUCAGGGGUGUUGGCUCGGCUUGGCUAACGGCUUGAAACGCGGGUCGCAUGCGAGUCAAAAACGGGUCGACGUUCGGGUCGAGUCGGAUCUUGGCGAAACGCGUGGAUCCUCUAGGUUACUUAACGCAAAAACGACGUCGUUUUGAGAGGGUAUAUAAGGCUGAUUCCUUCAUUUUUUCAGCAGAACCCUUCUUCUCUUCUCUCUCUUCCCUUCUUUCUUCUCUCCCUUCUCUCUAGAAUCUGAAGAACUCCAGUUGAAUAUUCACUGGAUUCUAAAAAUUUUUGUCGAAAUCUAGGUUUUUCGUUGGAAGUUCAUCGAAAAAUUGGUCAGUUUUUGGAAAUUCAUGUCGAAAACUGGGCAGCUAACCAAAAAAUUCAAACUUGGUCAAAAAAGUCACCAAAAAAUUUAACUUUCGUCGAAAAAUUCAACCGGAAUCUAAAAAUUUUCCAAAAAUUUCCAGAAAAAAAAUCUCAAAAAAUCUUCCAAAAAUUUCUCACCGAUCCCUAGAGCUAUUCUAACAUCUCUAAACCUUUUUUCAGCUUUCAAACCUUCUCUGUGUGUUUUUUUUUUAGCCAGUAACUCUUUUCUCUAUAUGUUUUCCUUUGAUCCAAGGGUCCUUUUUAUAGGGAUUGAUCAUAAGAGUUUUUGAUCAAUCCUAACUUCUCUUCGGAUUGGGAUUCAAUCAUUGAAUCCAAUAUGGACUCUAAUUGAAUCUCAAUUCACAGUGAGAUUCCUCCAAUACCAACCCAAUCUUCAACCGAAAAAAAAUCAAAAAAAUAAAAAAUUAAAUAAAAAAUAUUAAUAUAUAAUUAAAUGAAGAUAAUCAGAUAAACUAAAAAAUUAACAGAUAAAUUAACAAAAAUAAUAGAUAAAUAUAUAACUAGAUAAAUAAAAAUAUAUAUGAAUAUUAACACAAAAGAAAGAAAAAAAAUAAAAAAUAAAAAAUAAAAAUAAAAAUAUAUAUUAAUAAAUAGUAAUAAUAAAUAAAUAAAUAACAAAUACAUAAGAUACAAAGAAAAAUAUAUAUAAAAUAUAAAAUAAUAAUAAAAAAAAAUAUAAAAUACAACAUAAAAGUAAAAAUUAGGCAUACUCAUUUAGAUCAAGCUCAAUUGAUUCGAGUCUGAACCAUAUUUAGCGUCUACAAGGUGUAUUAAUUAAUUGUUAGUAUUUUGGCUCUUUUAAUUUCUGGGUUUUUAAUUGUUGGGUUUUGAAUUUUGAUAAAG
Molecule: long non-coding RNA, 13903 nt
Filed under: Durio zibethinus
Lineage: Eukaryota; Viridiplantae; Streptophyta; Magnoliopsida; Malvales; Malvaceae
Description: long non-coding RNA (DZIB_LNC001667)
Source: RNAcentral